RNAcentral lists this ribosomal RNA (427 nucleotides) under uncultured bacterium. RNAcentral's name for it is "partial 16S ribosomal RNA". It matches the Rfam family "Bacterial small subunit ribosomal RNA", at positions 355 to 774 of the family's 1533-position model. The record is from RNAcentral.
UGGGGAAUAUUGCACAAUGGGCGCAAGCCUGAUGCAGCCAUGCCGCGUGUAUGAAGAAGGCCUUCGGGUUGUAAAGUACUUUCAGCGGGGAGGAAGGCGAUAAGGUUAAUAACCUUGUCGAUUGACGUUACCCGCAGAAGAAGCACCGGCUAACUCCGUGCCAGCAGCCGCGGUAAUACGGAGGGUGCAAGCGUUAAUCGGAAUUACUGGGCGUAAAGCGCACGCAGGCGGUCUGUCAAGUCGGAUGUGAAAUCCCCGGGCUCAACCUGGGAACUGCAUUCGAAACUGGCAGGCUAGAGUCUUGUAGAGGGGGGUAGAAUUCCAGGUGUAGCGGUGAAAUGAGUAGAGAUCUGGAGGAAUACCGGUGGCGAAGGCGGCCCCCUGGACAAAGACUGACGCUCAGGUGCGAAAGCGUGGGGAGCAAACA